CCUACGGGUGGCUGCAGUGGGGAAUAUUGGACAAUGGGGGCAACCCUGAUCCAGCCAUGCCGCGUGUGUGAAGAAGGCCCUCGGGUUGUAAAGCACUUUCAGUGAGGAAGAACGCCUGGUGGUUAAUACCCAUCAGGAAAGACAUCACUCACAGAAGAAGCACCGGCUAACUCCGUGCCAGCAGCCGCGGUAAUACGGAGGGUGCGAGCGUUAAUCGGAAUUACUGGGCGUAAAGCGCGCGUAGGUGGCUUGAUAAGCCGGUUGUGAAAGCCCCGGGCUCAACCUGGGAACGGCAUCCGGAACUGUCAAGCUAGAGUGCAGGAGAGGAAGGUAGAAUUCCAGGUGUAGCGGUGAAAUGCGUAGAGAUCGGGAGGAAUACCAGUGGCGAAGGCGGCCUUCUGGACUGACACUGACACUGAGGUGCGAAAGCGUGGGUAGCAAACAGGAUUAGAUACCUUAGUAGUC
RNAcentral lists this ribosomal RNA (465 nucleotides) under Vreelandella stevensii. RNAcentral's name for it is "partial 16S ribosomal RNA". It matches the Rfam family "Bacterial small subunit ribosomal RNA", at positions 338 to 795 of the family's 1533-position model. Lineage: Bacteria; Pseudomonadati; Pseudomonadota; Gammaproteobacteria; Oceanospirillales; Halomonadaceae. The record is from RNAcentral.